Molecule: long non-coding RNA, 1659 nt
Filed under: Phocoena sinus (vaquita)
Lineage: Eukaryota; Metazoa; Chordata; Mammalia; Artiodactyla; Phocoenidae
Description: lncRNA (ENSPSNG00000002186.1)
Source: RNAcentral
GGGAGAGAGGAGCCCGAGACAGAGCGAGCGCCCACUGCUGGCACGUGGCGGCGAGGAGACGGAGAAGGGAGAGCGGGAGGUGGGGCGGCCACGGAGGACCGCCCGCCAGCGAGCCCCGCCAGCCCCGCUCGCCGAGGAGCCCAGCGCUCGCCCGCUGCGUCCACACCUGGGUCUGCGACCAGGGCGGAGGGAGGAAGACCCUCAUCUCAGAGUAGCCCUUUCCUCUGUUCUUUUCUUUCUUUUUCUCUUUUAUUGAAAGGGGACUACGUUUUAGCAGGAAAAACUACGCGUUUCUGUGCUGAGCAGGCUCCUUGCGGUGGCGGCCAUGCCGGGAGAGCCCCUCAGAGUGUGGGUUCUGUCCACGCUGGCUCUGAUAUCGCCGCGCUCACACUGCCUGUGUUCUAGGAGGGUUUUCAUUUAAAGAAAAUAUGGUGGUUUGUGUUUUUCUGUUUGUUUUUUAAAGAUUCUUUCAAAGGAGUACUGAAAAAUAUACUUUCCUGAAUUUGUCUCUCAAAUCUUAGUGGUGGACCUGGGAGAUGCGAGAAGCUUCCAGAAACGAAGUUUAAACAUGCCAAAACAACUCAAGAUUAGGAUCAACACCUGUGACGGGAGGAGGAUUUUUUUUUUCAGUUUUAGCUUCCAGCAGCUUCUCCCUGUAGGUCAGGGCAGUGAGGGAGCAUGGUCCCGGGCCGGGCAGGCGACUCCGUGGUCUCUGCUGGACUCCGAGAAGCAAAGCGCUUCCCGUGUGCCGUGGACUCGGCCCCACAGGAGGGGCCUCGGGCAGGACUGGCCGUGAGGCCAGAGGGCAGGAAGGUGGCAGUUCCCUGGCCAGUGGCUCCUUCCCCAGGGUCCUUCCUGAGGAUUUGGUGGAAAGCACCAGCCAGGAGGAUCUGUCCCCGUUCCCAGGGAGGCUCCCACCGUCGCUGUGGCCAGUUAGGCUCACUGAAUGCCCCAUCCCCUCUUGUUCCCCACCCUACCUGACUAGUUUGGAGCCCUUCUACCUGCGGGCACAGUUUUGAUGAGGUGGGGUCAUUUUAACUUUGGUGGGGAAAGGGAAUACGUUUCUGAAAUAAGUGGUACAAGGGGCCUCUGCCUGGGUCUGGGUUGCAACUUGCAUUUAUUGUUGCUGGUGGAGUCACCCCCAGCUCUUCGCACACCGUGAUGGGGGUUAGCCUCCCUGGCGGGACCUAGUUGGGGACUGUCUAACCCUAACCCUGCCUAUCCAGGCCCUGAUGACCCUGACCCCCAGCAUCCCCCUCCCCAUGUGCCUUAUCCCAAAGCCUCCAGAUUCCAGCUGGUACAUGGGAGAGAUGGGGGACACACAGGCCACCUUCCUUCUGGCAAGGCCUCUUAUUUAUUACCAUUGCUGUAGUGCUUUCGGUUCCCACUUCUUUUGGUAGCUGCAUAGAGUUUGGAUAGGUUUUUGCUAUGACCCCUUGUGCACUGUCCCCAUGGGUGACACACCCACCCACCCUGUUCUGUUCCUUGGAAUGCUUUGCCUCUGCUUUGUGCUGUUUGCUUUUUUCUCCACCUUAGCAACAGUUGCUAUGAGUCCCCCAAAUCAAGAAGCAUCUGUACCAAGGCAAUGUAACUUUUUGAUUUUCGGUCAAUUUGUUGUUUUAACUUCUUUUGUCACCAAUAAAAUCUUAAUAAACAGCU